Molecule: non-coding RNA, 71 nt
Organism: Myotis brandtii (Brandt's bat)
Lineage: Eukaryota; Metazoa; Chordata; Mammalia; Chiroptera; Vespertilionidae
Source: Rfam
GGUGGUUCUCAGGUGACACACCCCAGAAUCGGCCUCUUCUCUGUUUCCAGGUGCAUCACCCGAGAACCACA